GGGAUGGUGGCUCAGUGGUAGAGUGCUUGCCUCCCAUGCAAGAAGCCCUGGGUUCGAUUCCUCACUCCCA
RNAcentral lists this transfer RNA (70 nucleotides) under Dipodomys ordii (Ord's kangaroo rat). It matches the Rfam family "tRNA". From Rfam's summary of the family: Transfer RNA (tRNA) molecules are approximately 80 nucleotides in length. Their secondary structure includes four short double-helical elements and three loops (D, anti-codon, and T loops). Lineage: Eukaryota; Metazoa; Chordata; Mammalia; Rodentia; Heteromyidae. The record is from Rfam by way of RNAcentral.